This 482-nucleotide ribosomal RNA is filed under the name uncultured bacterium. RNAcentral describes it as "bacterial SSU rRNA". It matches the Rfam family "Bacterial small subunit ribosomal RNA", at positions 30 to 511 of the family's 1533-position model. The record is from RNAcentral.
AUUGAACGCUGGCGGCAUGCCUUACACAUGCAAGUCGAACGGCAGCACGGGAGCAAUCCUGGUGGCGAGUGGCGAACGGGUGAGUAAUGUAUCGGAACGUACCUUUCAGUGGGGGAUAACGUAGCGAAAGUUACGCUAAUACCGCAUAUUCUGUGAGCAGGAAAGCAGGGGAUCGCAAGACCUUGCGCUGAUUGAGCGGCCGAUAUCAGAUUAGCUAGUUGGUGAGGUAAAGGCUCACCAAGGCGACGAUCUGUAGCGGGUCUGAGAGGAUGAUCCGCCACACUGGAACUGAGACACGGUCCAGACUCCUACGGGAGGCAGCAGUAGGGAAUAUUGGUCAAUGGGUGAGAGCCUGAACCAGCCAUGCCGCGUGCAGGAAGACGGCCUUCUGGGUUGUAAACUGCUUUUAUCUGGGGAUAAAAAGACCGUGCGCGGUUAAUUGAAGGUACCAGAUGAAUAAGCACCGGCUAACUACGUGCCAG